GGUGGCUCAGGGGUAGAGCACUUGCCUUGCAUGCAUGAGGCCCUGGGUUCCAUUCCUCAGCACCA
Dipodomys ordii (Ord's kangaroo rat) is the source of this 65-nucleotide non-coding RNA. NCBI's taxonomy places the organism in Eukaryota, Metazoa, Chordata, Mammalia, Rodentia, Heteromyidae. The record is from Rfam.